CCUACGGGAGGCUGCAGUAGGGAGUAUUGCGCAAUGGGGGAAACCCUGACGCAGCGACGCCGCGUGAGUGAUGACGGCCUUCGGGUUGUAAAACUCUGUCCUUGGGGAAGAAACAAAUGACGGUACCCAAGGAGGAAGCCCCGGCUAACUACGUGCCAGCAGCCGCGGUAAUACGUAGGGGGCGAGCGUUGUCCGGAAUUAUUGGGCGUAAAGGGUGCGUAGGCGGCCUUUUAAGUCAGAUGUGAAAGACCACAGCUUAACUGUGGGGUUGCAUUUGAAACUAGAAGGCUUGAGUAUCGGAGAGGGUAGUGGAAUUCCUAGUGUAGCGGUGAAAUGCGUAGAUAUUAGGAGGAACACCAGUGGCGAAGGCGACUACCUGGACGAAAACUGACGCUGAGGCACGAAAGCGUGGGGAGCAAACAGGAUUAGAUACCCUU
This 437-nucleotide ribosomal RNA is filed under the name uncultured bacterium. RNAcentral's name for it is "bacterial SSU rRNA". It matches the Rfam family "Bacterial small subunit ribosomal RNA", at positions 338 to 789 of the family's 1533-position model. The record is from RNAcentral.